Cyprinus carpio (common carp) is the source of this 2801-nucleotide long non-coding RNA. NCBI's taxonomy places the organism in Eukaryota, Metazoa, Chordata, Actinopteri, Cypriniformes, Cyprinidae. The record is from Ensembl.
UGCAACUGAUUUUUUUCUUUUGUCUUUGUUCACAGAUAUGUGAAUGUGGCCAUGCAAAGCGUGUGACAUUUCAUUAUCUACCCGGUAUGAAUUGCUAAAACAUUUUAGGCUGAAACAUUUCCACUAUGGUCGCAAUUGCCGGUAUCCCUGUCUAUAUGCAGAUUGCCCAUGUACAUUCACAAGUUGGAAGAAUCUUUUGAGUCACACAUAUCAAACACACAGGAAGUUAACAGCAGCAAAUGUUCAGUUAACUACAUUCUUUUGUCAGACGUGUGCAUGUAAGGAAAUUUUAACUGAAAAGGAAUACUUUGCUCAUGUAAAUCAACAUCUUAGGCAGUAUGAAAACGUAACUUGUAUGUUUAAAGGAUGUACGUUUGAGACAAACAUAUAUGGAACAUUUCACUCGCAUAAAAAUCGUAAACAUAAUCCCUACACUCUAAACGAUUUUAAGGCAGGUGUUGUUAAACUCGCUGCUCAGUCAGACGAAUCUGGUAGUACUGUAGAUGAUAGCCCCUCAUCUUCUGCUGACAUAGAUUUUGUACCUCCGUUAGAUGCAGAUAGUGAUAUAGAUACUUCAGAUGACCUGCCGAAAUUAGUAGAACAAAAAAUAGCUGCAGUUUUUCUGAAGUUGGAAAACAUUUUUCAUGUGCCAUCUACAGCUAUUGAUGAACUACUUGAUGAACUACACUUCCUCUUAAGUACUGUGUCUGUGCCUGUAACUUGUAGCAGUCUUUCAGAUUUUUUCAAAAACAAAAACCUUGAAGUUGAUAGCUUAAUUAUUAAGGAACUAGCUGAUGUACUGUGUAAAUCUAACCCUUUAGUAAAAUCAAUAGGGAAAGAUGGUCCCCUUUCAACAACUUAUAAGAGAAAAGAGUACUAUAAGGAUUUGUUAAAUAUUGUUGAGCCAGUGGAGUUUAUUCUGGACCAAAAAAAGAGCAGGACAUUUCAGUAUAUCCCAUUACUGCAGUCUUUACAGCAGCUACUUGAUUGUACUGCAGUGUUAAACGGUAUUAUCAGUAGCCACGGAACACAGGAAAGUACAGACCAGUUAGAUAAUCAGCAGUAUCGCUCUAUAAGAGACGGUUUGUAUUUUAAGGACAACACUUUCCUGUCAGGUGAUGAGUUGCGAAUUUGUUUAACUUUGUACAUCGAUGAUUUUGAGCUAUGUAAUCCCCUGGGUACAUCGCGAAAAAAACACAAAUUGUGUAGUGUGUACUGGAUUCUGAAUAACUUGCCACCAGGCUCUCAUUCAGCACUGUCUUCCAUUUAUUUAACGGUUUUGUGCAAAAGUGACGAUGUAAAGGUAUAUGGCUAUGGAAAAAUUCUAGAGCCACUUUUACAAGACCUUUGUACUUUAGAAGAGCAUGGUGUUUUCAGCUCAAAACUUGGGAAGUUUGUCAAAGGAACAGUCCAUAGUGUUGUAGCGGACAAUUUGGGAGCCCACGGAUUGGCUGGUUUUGUAGAGAGCUUCUCUGGCCAGUAUAUUUGUCGAUUUUGUACUGCUCAGAAAGUAGAUAUUCAAACAAGGGAUGUUCAUUCAGGUGCUUUUUUGCUUCGAACAAAAGAAAUACAUGAAGCACAUGUAAAGUCUGCACAGGAAACUGACACAAAUUGCUUUGGUGUGAAGAGAGCGUGUGUUUUAACAGAAAAUCUUCAACAUUUUCACGUUAACACAGGCUAUCCCCCAGAUAUAGUGCAUGACUUAUUUGAGGGUAUUGUCCCUUCUGAACUGGCACUAUGUUUCAGUGUUCUCAUCUCUAAGAAGUAUUUCAGUCUUGAAUGUCUUAACACACGAAUCGUCAAAUUUCCCUAUAAGUGGAGUGACAAAAAAAAUCGAUCUCAAGUUAUACCAAACAGCUAUUCAUGUAAGAAGACAAUAGGUGGCAACGCCCAUGAGAAUUGGAAUCUAAUUCGAUUGCUUCCAUUUCUAGUAGGAGACUUGAUUCCAGAGGAUGAGCUUGCUUGGCAAGUGAUAUUAGACCUGAAGGAAAUUGUAGAAUUAGCUGUGGCACCAGUUCACACUGAUGAGACAAUUGCUUAUCUUGAUGUCAAAGUGUCUGAACACAGACAGAGACUACUCGAGCUUAACCCGGACGUAAAGCUUUUACCUAAACACCACUAUCUUGAGCAUUACCCGCACCUGAUUAAGUGUUUUGGGCCUCUUCUAGGUUUAUGGACGAUGCGAUUUGAAGCUAAACAUAGCUUUUUUAAACAAGUAGCUCGACACACAAAUAAUUUCAGGAAUAUUGCACUCACACUGGCAGCCAAACACCAGCAAUUCAUCAGUUACCACAUAUAUUCAUCCACACUCAAUACAUCAAAUUUGGAAGUUUCAAAUGUCUCUACAGUCCAGGUUGAUGUUCUGAAUAAGGAAGUUGUGUUGGCUCUCAGGCAGAAGUAUCCAAAUAUCAGUCAAGUUCACCUUGCAAAAAGUGUCACCACUAGAGGAAUUAACUACAAAAAUGGAAUGUUAAUUGCAUGUGGUUCAACUGCUGGAAUGCCAGAAUUUGCAGAAAUUCUACAAAUGUGCAUAAGGGGAGAUGAGCUGAGUUUCAUUGUGCGUUUAUUGUGUGCAUGGUAUAGAGACCACUUCAGAUCUUUUGAGUUGACUUCUUCACCAGGUAAAGAGGUUGCCCUGGUUCAGCUUGAAGAACUGACAGACUGCUAUCCACUUGUGGCCUAUACAGUUUGUUCCAGACGUAUGGUAACCCUGAAGAGACACAUCGUCAUCAAAGGUGUUAUNNNNNNNNNNNNNNNNNNNNNNNNNNNNNNNNNNNNNNNNNNNNNNNNNNNNNNNNNNN